CUAUUGUAGUGGCCGAUUUACAAUUAUUUUGAAUACGAAUAUAGUUUUGAACUUCAGUACAGUAUAAGGCUUUGUUUACAUGAGACCGGAAAGAAGUGAAACCGGAAUGAAAAGUGGAAUUUGUUGCAUGUUUUCAUGGACCGGCACAAAAUCACGAAAAAUCUUCAUUCGUGCAAUGUCUCUUUUGCAGCUAAUUUACACUUGCUAGCCACUUUGCUUUUGUAACUUGCUUUUGUGCGCAUGUGUUGAUGCCAUUUCAGAGCGGUCUAUUACAGGAAAGCAUAGUUCUCUUUUCUUACAUUUCAUUGUUUUUAUAGCGCAUGAGUGAAAAAUCACCAAAGCAAGUAAUUUAUUGGUUAACAGAUUCGCUUUGUGUAUGCACGUGAUCUCUACCAGGCAAAUAAAGAAAGGGCGAGUCUGUUUGUUAUCUUUCAAUCGUUUUAGUUGCAGAGAGAAGAUUACACGGAGCUUGUGUUUGGUGAACAAAUAUAAACGUCAGUGAUCUUCAUAUAAAAACGAUAAGACAUAGUUAAGUAGAAGGAUAUGGGAGAUCGUGCAACAGCAACGAAUGAAACAAGCCAGUUGGAAAAACGAUAUUCAACGAUCCAAUUCAUGGCUUCAUCGAGCUUCAUCCUUUGUUGGUCAAAAUUAUCAACACACCACAAUUCCAGCGUUUGAAAGAUAUCAAGCAGUUGGGAAUCUGUGACUUCGUUUACCCUGGAGCAACUCACACUAGGUUUGAACAUUCUCUUGGAACCUCUUAUUUGUGUGGCAUAUUGAUUGAUAAACUACAAGAGCUUCAUCGUGGAGAGGUUGAGAUCACAGAUGAAGAAUGCAUUUGUAUCAAAAUAGCCGGACUUUGUCAUGAUCUUGGCCAUGGACCUUUCUCUCAUUUCUUUGAUGGUGUAUACAUCAAAAGGCUAAGACCUGAUUUGGAGUGGGAACAUGAGGAUGCGUCUU
Long non-coding RNA from Xenia sp. Carnegie-2017, 960 nucleotides. RefSeq lists it as uncharacterized. Lineage: Eukaryota; Metazoa; Cnidaria; Anthozoa; Malacalcyonacea; Xeniidae. The record is from RefSeq and is a predicted model, not a curated record. The transcript is spliced from 3 exons.